This 483-nucleotide ribosomal RNA is filed under the name uncultured Desulfobulbus sp. Its description in RNAcentral is "bacterial SSU rRNA". It matches the Rfam family "Bacterial small subunit ribosomal RNA", at positions 903 to 1382 of the family's 1533-position model. Lineage: Bacteria; Pseudomonadati; Thermodesulfobacteriota; Desulfobulbia; Desulfobulbales; Desulfobulbaceae. The record is from RNAcentral.
AAAGGAAUUGACGGGGCCCGCACAAGCGGUGGAGUAUGUGGUUAAUUCGAUGCAACGCGAAGAACCUUACCUGGUCUUGACAUCCCGGAGACCCUUAGGAAACUAGGGGGUGCUUCCAUCUGGAAGAAUCUGGAGACAGGUGCUGCAUGGCUGUCGUCAGCUCGUGUCGUGAGAUGUUGGGUUAAGUCCCGCAACGAGCGCAACCCUUGCCUUUAGUUGCCAGCAGUUCGGCUGGGCACUCUAAAGGGACUGCCGGUGUUAAACCGGAGGAAGGUGGGGAUGACGUCAAGUCCUCAUGGCCUUUAUGACCAGGGCUACACACGUACUACAAUGGCCGAUACAAAGGGCAGCGACACUGCGAGGUGAAGCCAAUCCCGUAAAAUCGGUCUCAGUCCGGAUUGGAGUCUGCAACUCGACUCCAUGAAGUUGGAAUCGCUAGUAAUCGUGGAUCAGCAUGCCACGGUGAAUACGUUCCCGGGCCUU